GCAUGCCUUAUUUUGCAAGUCGAACGCAGCACGGGAGCAAUCCUGGUGGCGAGUGGCGUACGGGUGAGUAAUAUAUCGGAACGUGCCCAGUCGUGGGGGAUAACGCAGCGAAAGCUGUGCUAAUACCGCAUACGAUCUACGGAUGAAAGCGGGGGAUCGCAAGACCUCGCGCGAUUGGAGCGGCCGAUAUCAGAUUAGCUAGUUGGUGGGGUAAAAGCCCACCAAGGCGACGAUCUGUAGCUGGUCUGAGAGGACGACCAGCCACACUGGAACUGAGACACGGUCCAGACUCCUACGGGAGGCAGCAGUGGGGAAUUUUGGACAAUGGGCGCAAGCCUGAUCCAGCAAUGCCGCGUGCAGGAUGAAGGUCUUCGGGUUGUAAACUGCUUUUGUACGGAGCGAAACGGCUCUCUUUAAUACAGGGGGCUAAUGACGGUACCGUAAGAAUAAGCACCGGCUAACUACGUGCCAGCAGCCGCGGUAAUACGUAGGGUGCGAGCGUUAAUCGGAAUUACUGGGCGUAAAGCGUGCGCAGGCGGUUUUGUAAGACAGAUGUGAAAUCCCCGGGCUCA
Molecule: ribosomal RNA, 572 nt
Filed under: uncultured bacterium
Lineage: Bacteria
Description: bacterial SSU rRNA
Rfam family: Bacterial small subunit ribosomal RNA
Source: RNAcentral